AGCUGGUUGGACUGUAGUGGUGUUUACAACUAAUUGAUCACAACCAGUUACAGGUUUAUUGGUUCCUUUUCCACUCCCACUGCUUCAUGUUACUAGCCUAUA
Cercocebus atys (sooty mangabey) is the source of this 102-nucleotide unclassified non-coding RNA. It matches the Rfam family "Y RNA". Rfam says of the family: Y RNAs are components of the Ro ribonucleoprotein particle (Ro RNP), in association with Ro60 and La proteins. The Y RNAs and Ro60 and La proteins are well conserved, but the function of the Ro RNP is not known. The record is from Ensembl. NCBI's taxonomy places the organism in Eukaryota, Metazoa, Chordata, Mammalia, Primates, Cercopithecidae.